This 234-nucleotide ribosomal RNA is filed under the name uncultured Lactobacillus sp. Its description in RNAcentral is "partial 16S ribosomal RNA". It matches the Rfam family "Bacterial small subunit ribosomal RNA", at positions 129 to 354 of the family's 1533-position model. Lineage: Bacteria; Bacillati; Bacillota; Bacilli; Lactobacillales; Lactobacillaceae. The record is from RNAcentral.
CCCAAGAGAUCGGGAUAACACCUGGAAACAGAUGCUAAUACCGGAUAACAACAGAUGAUGCCUAUCAACUGUUUAAAAGGAUGGUUCUGCUAUCACUCUUGGAUGGACCUGCGGUGCAUUAGCUAGUUGGUAGGGUAACGGCCUACCAAGGCGAUGAUGCAUAGCCGAGUUGAGAGACUGAUCGGCCACAUUGGGACUGAGACACGGCCCAAACUCCUACGGGAGGCAGCAGAU